Molecule: ribosomal RNA, 1200 nt
Filed under: Bacillus subtilis
Lineage: Bacteria; Bacillati; Bacillota; Bacilli; Caryophanales; Bacillaceae
Description: bacterial SSU rRNA
Rfam family: Bacterial small subunit ribosomal RNA
Source: RNAcentral
GUUAGCGGCGGACGGGUGAGUAACACGUGGGUAACCUGCCUGUAAGACUGGGAUAACUCCGGGAAACCGGGGCUAAUACCGGAUGGUUGUUUGAACCGCAUGGUUCAAACAUAAAAGGUGGCUUCGGCUACCACUUACAGAUGGACCCGCGGCGCAUUAGCUAGUUGGUGAGGUAACGGCUCACCAAGGCAACGAUGCGUAGCCGACCUGAGAGGGUGAUCGGCCACACUGGGACUGAGACACGGCACGAAAGUCUGACGGAGCAACGCCGCGUAGCUCUGUUGUUAGGGAAGAACAAGUACCGUUCGAAUAGGGCGGUACCUUGACGGUACCUAACCAGAAAGCCACGGCUAACUACGUGCCAGCAGCCGCGGUAAUACGUAGGUGGCAAGCGUUGUCCGGAAUUAUUGGGCGUAAAGGGCUCGCAGGCGGUUUCUUAAGUCUGAUGUGAAAGCCCCCGGCUCAACCGGGGAGGGUCAUUGGAAACUGGGGAACUUGAGUGCAGAAGAGGAGAGUGGAAUUCCACGUGUAGCGGUGAAAUGCGUAGAGAUGUGGAGGAACACCAGUGGCGAAGGCGACUCUCUGGUCUGUAACUGACGCUGAGGAGCGAAAGCGUGGGGAGCGAACAGGAUUAGAUACCCUGGUAGUCCACGCCGUAAACGAUGAGUGCUAAGUGUUAGGGGGUUUCCGCCCCUUAGUGCUGCAGCUAACGCAUUAAGCACUCCGCCUGGGGAGUACGGUCGCAAGACUGAAACUCAAAGGAAUUGACGGGGGCCCGCACAAGCGGUGGAGCAUGUGGUUUAAUUCGAAGCAACGCGAAGAACCUUACCAGGUCUUGACAUCCUCUGACGUCCCCUUCGGGGGCAGAGUGACAGGUGGUGCAUGGUUGUCGUCAGCUCGUGUCGUGAGAUGUUGGGUUAAGUCGCGCAACGACCGCAGCCAGCAUUCAGUUGGGCACUCUAAGGUGACUGCCGGUGACAAACCGGAGGAAGGUGGGGAUGAUAUGACCUGGGCUACACACGUGCUACAAUGGACAGAACAAAGGGCAGCGAAACCGCGAGGUUAAGCCAAUCCCACAAAUCUGUUCUCAGUUCGGAUCGCAGUCUGCAACUCGACUGCGUGAAGCUGGAAUCGCUAGUAAUCGCGGAUCAGCAUGCCCCGGUGAAUACGUUCCCGCCCCUUGUGGGGGAAUGGCACUGC